RNAcentral lists this ribosomal RNA (253 nucleotides) under uncultured bacterium. RNAcentral's name for it is "partial 16S ribosomal RNA". It matches the Rfam family "Bacterial small subunit ribosomal RNA", at positions 524 to 776 of the family's 1533-position model. The record is from RNAcentral.
UACGUAGGGUGCGAGCGUUGUCCGGAAUUAUUGGGCGUAAAGAGCUUGUAGGCGGUUUGUCGCGUCGGGAGUGAAAACCCAGGGCUUAACUCUGGGCUUGCUUUCGAUACGGGCAGACUAGAGGUAUGCAGGGGAGAACGGAAUUCCUGGUGUAGCGGUGAAAUGCGCAGAUAUCAGGAGGAACACCGGUGGCGAAGGCGGUUCUCUGGGCAUUACCUGACGCUGAGGUGCGAAAGCGUGGGGAGCAAACAGG